This 253-nucleotide ribosomal RNA is filed under the name uncultured bacterium. Its description in RNAcentral is "partial 16S ribosomal RNA". It matches the Rfam family "Bacterial small subunit ribosomal RNA", at positions 524 to 776 of the family's 1533-position model. The record is from RNAcentral.
UACAGGGGGCGCAAGCGUUGCUCGGAAUCAUUGGGCGUAAAGCGCACGUAGGCGGUCUGUUAUGUCGGAUGUGAAAGCCCUCGGCUCAACUGAGGAAGUGCAUCCGAAACUGGCAGGCUAGAGUACUAAAGAGGGUCGCGGAAUUCCCGGUGUAGAGGUGAAAUUCGUAGAUAUCGGGAGGAACACCGGUGGCGAAGGCGGCGACCUGGGUAGAUACUGACGCUGAGGUGCGAAAGCGUGGGGAGCAAACAGG